UUGCCGUAGGCAACGACCCGAAGGGCGAAGCGCGCAGCGCUGAGUCAUCCUACCCCCACCACCA
Molecule: small RNA, 64 nt
Filed under: Salmonella enterica
Lineage: Bacteria; Pseudomonadati; Pseudomonadota; Gammaproteobacteria; Enterobacterales; Enterobacteriaceae
Also listed under: 1 other name
Description: partial RtT sRNA
Rfam family: RtT RNA
About the family: This family represents a bacterial cis-regulatory element known as RtT RNA. The exact function of RtT is unknown although it is thought that it may be involved in changing the cellular response in relation to amino acid starvation.
Source: RNAcentral